Molecule: ribosomal RNA, 712 nt
Filed under: Alcaligenes faecalis
Lineage: Bacteria; Pseudomonadati; Pseudomonadota; Betaproteobacteria; Burkholderiales; Alcaligenaceae
Description: bacterial SSU rRNA
Rfam family: Bacterial small subunit ribosomal RNA
Source: RNAcentral
UGCAGUCGAGCGGCAACACGAGAGAGCUUGCUCUCUUGGUGGCGAGUGGCGGACGGGUGAGUAAUGUAUCGGAACCUGCCCAAUAGCGGGGGAUAACUACUCGAAAGAGUGGCUAAUACCGCAUACGCCCUACGGGGGAAAGGGGGGGAUCGCAAGACCUCUCACUAUUGGAGCGGCCGAUAUCGGAUUAGCUAGUUGGUGGGGUAAAGGCUCACCAAGGCAACGAUCCGUAGCUGGUUUGAGAGGACGACCAGCCACACUGGGACUGAGACACGGCCCAGACUCCUACGGGAGGCAGCAGGGGGGAAUUUUGGACAAUGGGGGAAACCCUGAUCCAGCCAUCCCGCGUGUGUGAUGAAGGCCUUCGGGUUGUAAAGCACUUUUGGCUGAGAAGAAAAGGGAUCCCCUAAUACCCUGAUACUGCUGACGGUAUCUGCAGAAUAAGCACCGGCUCACUACGUGCCAGCAGCCGCGGUAAUACGUAGGGUGCAAGCGUUAAUCGGAAUUACUGAGCGUAAAGCGUGCGCAGGCGGCUCGGAAAGAAAGAUGUGAAAUCCCAGGGCUCAACCUUGGAACUGCAUUUGUAACUGCCUAUCUAGAGUAUGUCAGAGGGGGGGUAGAAUUCCACGUGUAGCAGUGAAAUGCGUAGAUGAUGUGUAGGAAUACCGAUGGCGAAGGCAGCCCCCUGGGAUAGUACUGACGCUCACGCUGC